GAUGAACGCUGGCGGCGUGCCUAAUACAUGCAAGUCGAGCGAACGGACGAGAAGCUUGCUUCUCUGAUGUUAGCGGCGGACGGGUGAGUAACACGUGGAUAACCUACCUAUAAGACUGGGAUAACUUCGGGAAACCGGAGCUAAUACCGGAUAAUAUUUUGAACCGCAUGGUUCAAAAGUGAAAGACGGUCUUGCUGUCACUUAUAGAUGGAUCCGCGCUGCAUUAGCUAGUUGGUAAGGUAACGGCUUACCAAGGCAACGAUGCAUAGCCGACCUGAGAGGGUGAUCGGCCACACUGGAGCUGAGACACGGUCCAGACUCCUACGGGAGGCAGCAGUAGGGAAUCUUCCGCAAUGGGCGAAAGCCUGACGGAGCAACGCCGCGUGAGUGAUGAAGGUCUUCGGAUCGUAAAACUCUGUUAUUAGGGAAGAACAUAUGUGUAAGUAACUGUGCACAUCUUGACGGUACCUAAUCAGAAAGCCACGGCUAACUACGUGCCAGCAGCCGCGGUAAUACGUAGGUGGCAAGCGUUAUCCGGAAUUAUUGGGCGUAAAGCGCGCGUAGGCGGUUUUUUAAGUCUGAUGUGAAAGCCCACGGCUCAACCGUGGAGGGUCAUUGGAAACUGGAAAACUUGAGUGCAGAAGAGGAAAGUGGAAUUCCAUGUGUAGCGGUGAAAUGCGCAGAGAUAUGGAGGAACACCAGUGGCGAAGGCGACUUUCUGGUCUGUAACUGACGCUGAUGUGCGAAAGCGUGGGGAUCAAACAGGAUUAGAUACCCUGGUAGUCCACGCCGUAAACGAUGAGUGCUAAGUGUUAGGGGGUUUCCGCCCCUUAGUGCUGCAGCUAACGCAUUAAGCGCUCCGCCUGGGGAGUACGACCGCAAGGUUGAAACUCAAAGGAAUUGACGGGGACCCGCACAAGCGGUGGAGCAUGUGGUUUAAUUCGAAGCAACGCGAAGAACCUUACCAAAUCUUGACAUCCUUUGACAACUCUAGAGAUAGAGCCUUCCCCUUCGGGGGACAAAGUGACAGGUGGUGCAUGGUUGUCGUCAGCUCGUGUCGUGAGAUGUUGGGUUAAGUCCCGCAACGAGCGCAACCCUUAAGCUUAGUUGCCAUCACUAAGUUGGGCACUCUAAGUUGACUGCCGGUGACAAACCGGAGGAAGGUGGGGAUGACGUCAAAUCAUCAUGCCCCUUAUGAUUUGGGCUACACACGUGCUACAAUGGACAAUACAAAGGGCAGCGAAACCGCGAGGUCAAGCAAAUCCCAUAAAGUUGUUCUCAGUUCGGAUUGUAGUCUGCAACUCGACUACAUGAAGCUGGAAUCGCUAGUAAUCGUAGAUCAGCAUGCUACGGUGAAUACGUUCCCGGGUCU
This 1372-nucleotide ribosomal RNA is filed under the name uncultured bacterium. RNAcentral's name for it is "bacterial SSU rRNA". It matches the Rfam family "Bacterial small subunit ribosomal RNA", at positions 28 to 1381 of the family's 1533-position model. The record is from RNAcentral.